GAUGAACGCUGGCGGCGUGCCUAAUACAUGCAAGUCGAGCGAACGGACGAGAAGCUUGCUUCUCUGAUGUUAGCGGCGGACGGGUGAGUAACACGUGGAUAACCUACCUAUAAGACUGGGAUAACUUCGGGAAACCGGAGCUACUCCCGUAUCAUCUUUUGAACCGCAUGGUUCCAACGUGAAAGACGGUCUUGCUGUCACUUAUCGCUGGAUCCGCGCUGCAUUAGCUAGUUGGUAAGGUAACGGCUUACCAAGGCAACGAUGCAUAGCCGACCUGAGAGGGUGAUCGGCCACACUAGAACUGAGACACGGUCCAGACUCCUACGGGAGGCAGCCGUAGGGAAUCUUCCGCAAUGGGCGAAAGCCUGACGGAGCAACGCCGCGUGAGUGAUGAAGGUCUUCGGAUAGUAAAACUCUGUUAUGAGGGAAGAACAUAUGUGUAAGUAACUGUGAACAUCUUGACGGUACCUAAUCAGAAAGCCACGGCUAACUACGUG
Molecule: ribosomal RNA, 497 nt
Filed under: uncultured bacterium
Lineage: Bacteria
Description: partial 16S ribosomal RNA
Rfam family: Bacterial small subunit ribosomal RNA
Source: RNAcentral